GGUCUUUUAGUAUAAUGGUAAUACAGCAGCUCUUCACGUCGUUAAUGCCAGUUCGAAUCUGGUAAAGACUA
Molecule: non-coding RNA, 71 nt
Organism: Tulasnella sp. 419
Lineage: Eukaryota; Fungi; Basidiomycota; Agaricomycetes; Cantharellales; Tulasnellaceae
Source: the annotation of a GenBank genome assembly